Molecule: small RNA, 1107 nt
Filed under: Ralstonia solanacearum
Lineage: Bacteria; Pseudomonadati; Pseudomonadota; Betaproteobacteria; Burkholderiales; Burkholderiaceae
Description: bacterial SSU rRNA
Rfam family: Bacterial small subunit ribosomal RNA (bases 1-513)
Source: RNAcentral
CGGUUUUUCCGUUCUGGGCAGGUGCUGCUUGGCUAGACAGUCAGCUCGUGUCGUCGAGAUGUUGGGUUGAGUCCCGCAACGAGCGCAACCCUUGUCUCUAGUUGCUACGAAAGGGCACUCUAGAGAGACUGCCGGUGACAAACCGGAGGAAGGUGGGGAUGACGUCAAGUCCUCAUGGCCCUUAUGGGUAGGGCUUCACACGUCAUACAAUGGUGCAUACAGAGGGUUGCCAAGCCGCGAGGUGGAGCUAAUCCCAGAAAAUGCAUCGUAGUCCGGAUCGUAGUCUGCAACUCGACUACGUGAAGCUGGAAUCGCUAGUAAUCGCGGAUCAGCAUGCCGCGGUGAAUACGUUCCCGGGUCUUGUACACACCGCCCGUCACACCAUGGGAGUGGGCUUUACCAGAAGUAGUUAGCCUAACCGCAAGGAGGGCGAUUACCACGGUAGGGUUCAUGACUGGGGUGAAGUCGUAACAAGGUAGCCGUAUCGGAAGGUGCGGCUGGAUCACCUCCUUUAAGAGCGUGCAUCCUAGUUAGGCGUCCACACUUAUCGGUUUGUUUGAUGUUACAGCCAAGGGUCUGUAGCUCAGGUGGUUAGAGCACCGUCUUGAUAAGGCGGGGGUCGUAGGUUCAAGUCCUACCAGACCCACCAAGUUACGGACGGUGGAAGUCUUCGGGGGCCCUGGGGGGAACCUCCCCCCCCGUCCAGAGGCGGAUGUCAUGGGACGGAAAUUGAGGAUUGGGGGAAUGUACGAGUGGCCGUUGGGGGAGUGUUUGGGGUGUAGGUUUGUUGAUGUGUUUUGGGGUUUGGGGUUUGGGGUUUGUUGGGGGUUGAAUUUGGGGUUUGGGUUUUUUUGGGGAUAUUGUGGGGUGUUUGCAGGGCUUUGGGUGGGGUUUUUGUUUGGGGGGGUUGUUUGUUUUGGGGGGGGGGGGUGUGUGUGUAGCCGGGUGAUGUGGGGGGUGUGUGUGGUGGUGGUUGCGGGUGUUUGGUGUUUGGUGUUUGGGGGGUGGGGGGGGGGGGGUGGGGGGGGGGGGGGGGGGGGGGGGGGGGGGGGGGUGUGGGGUGGUGGGGGGUGGGGGGUGGGGGUUGUUGUUUUGGGGUUGGUGGUG